Molecule: ribosomal RNA, 373 nt
Filed under: Microlipophrys caboverdensis
Lineage: Eukaryota; Metazoa; Chordata; Actinopteri; Blenniiformes; Blenniidae
Description: partial 12S ribosomal RNA
Rfam family: Bacterial small subunit ribosomal RNA
Source: RNAcentral
GCCCGGGAACUACGAGCAUUAGCUUAGAACCCAAAGGACUUGGCGGUGCUUAAUAACCCCCUAGAGGAGCCUGUUCUAGAACCGAUAACCCUCGUUCAACCUCACCCCUCCUGGCCAAUCCCGCCUAUAUACCGCCGUCGUCAGCUUACCCUGUGAAGGUCUCAUAGUAAGCAUAAUUAGUAAAACCCAAAACGUCAGGUCGAGGUGUAGCAUAUGGAGGGGGAAGAAAUGGGCUACAUUUCCUGCUCACAGGAUAUUACGAAAAGUGUACUGAAAUUUAUGCUAGAAGGAGGAUUUAGUAGUAAGCAGGUGGAACAGAGAGCCCCCCUGAAGCCGGCCCUUAAGCGCGCACACACCGCCCGUCACUCUCCCA